UGAGGAAUAUUGGUCAAUGGGCGGGAGCCUGAACCAGCCAAGCCGCGUGAGGGAGGAAGGCCCUAUGGGUCGUAAACCUCUUUUGUCAGGGAACAAAAGCGAGUAUGUAUACUAGUCUGAGUGUACCUGAAGAAAAAGGCAUCGGCUAACUCCGUGCCAGCAGCCGCGGUAAUACGGAGGAUGCGAGCGUUAUCCGGAUUUAUUGGGUUUAAACGGGUGCGUAGGCGGCGGUGCAAGUCAGCGGUAAAAGCCCGGGGCCUCAACCCCGGCGAGCCGUUGAAACUGCAGUGCUAGAGAAGGCGAGAGGUACGCGGAAUGCGCAGUGUAGCGGUGAAAUGCUUAGAUAUUGCGCAGAACUCCGAUUGCGAAGGCAGCGUACUGGCGCCUGACUGACGCUGAGGCACGAAAGCGUGGGGAUCGAACAGGAUUAGAUACC
RNAcentral lists this ribosomal RNA (436 nucleotides) under uncultured bacterium. RNAcentral describes it as "bacterial SSU rRNA". It matches the Rfam family "Bacterial small subunit ribosomal RNA", at positions 355 to 786 of the family's 1533-position model. The record is from RNAcentral.